This 460-nucleotide ribosomal RNA is filed under the name uncultured bacterium. RNAcentral's name for it is "partial 16S ribosomal RNA". It matches the Rfam family "Bacterial small subunit ribosomal RNA", at positions 338 to 795 of the family's 1533-position model. The record is from RNAcentral.
CCUACGGGUGGCAGCAGUGAGGAAUAUUGGUCAAUGGACGGAAGUCUGAACCAGCCACGCCGCGUGAAGGAAGACGGCCCUCUGAGUUGUAAACUGCUUUUGUCGAGGGGUAAAGCUGUCUUCGUGAAUUCAGCUGAAAGUACUGUACGCAGAAGGAAAGGCUAACCCCGUGCCCGCAGCCGCGGUAAUUCGGAGGGUCCAAGCGUUAUCCGGAUUUGUUGGGGUUAAAGGGUGAGUAGGCGGAUUGAUAAGUUAGAGGUUAAAUGUUCGGGCUUAACUCGGGAACUGCCGUUGAUACUGUUGAUCUAGAGAGUAGGAGAGGUAGGCGGAAUGCAUGGUGUAGCGGUGAAAUGCUUAGAGAUCAUGCAGAACACCGAUUGCGAAGGCAGCUUACCGGUCUAUAACUGACGUUGAGGCACGAAAGCGUGGGGAGCAAACAGGAUUAGAUACCCUUGUAGUC